RNAcentral lists this long non-coding RNA (577 nucleotides) under Anas platyrhynchos platyrhynchos (common mallard). Its description in RNAcentral is "lncRNA (ENSAPLG00000021203.1)". Lineage: Eukaryota; Metazoa; Chordata; Aves; Anseriformes; Anatidae. The record is from RNAcentral.
AACCUCAGCCUGGCCCCACAGCAGGCCCGGGCCUGGCCCUACAACCUCAGCCUGGCCCCACAGCAGGCCGGGGUCUGGCCCCACAACCACAGCCUGGCCCUACAACCACAGCCUGGCCCUACAGCAGGUCCGGGCCUGGCCCUACAACCACAGCCUGGCCCCACAACCACAGCCUGGCCCUACAGCAGGCCUGGGUCUGGCCCUACAACCACAGCCUGGCCCUACAACCUCAGCCUGGCCCUACAACCACAGCCUGGCCCUACAACCACAGCCUGGCCCCACAACCACAGCCUGGCCCCACAGCAGGCCCGGGCCUGGCCCCACAACCACAGCCUGGCCCCCUAAAGCCCCCUCCCGGCUCCCCGGAGGCCCGGAGCCGCUCGCACCGCCGUCGCUGAAGUCGCGGGCGACGUUUCUGCGGGGCCGGGAGAGGGGCACGGUGUCCAGCCAGCCGUACAGGGCCCGCAGGCCGCCAUCGCCCGCCGCUCCCGGGCCUAGGCCUAGGCCCGCCAUGGCGCCCGCCGCGUCGCCAUGGCAACGGGGCCGCGCGGGGCAUGCUGGGAGCGCGCCGAGGGGU